This 73-nucleotide transfer RNA is filed under the name Candidatus Micrarchaeota archaeon CG1_02_55_22. RNAcentral's name for it is "tRNA-Asn". It matches the Rfam family "tRNA". From Rfam's summary of the family: Transfer RNA (tRNA) molecules are approximately 80 nucleotides in length. Their secondary structure includes four short double-helical elements and three loops (D, anti-codon, and T loops). The record is from RNAcentral. Lineage: Archaea; Nanobdellati; Microcaldota.
GCCUUGGUAACUCAGUUGGUAGAGUGCCUGGCUGUUAACCAGGAUGCCGCAGGUUCGAGUCCUGCCCAAGGCG